Molecule: ribosomal RNA, 467 nt
Filed under: uncultured bacterium
Lineage: Bacteria
Description: partial 16S ribosomal RNA
Rfam family: Bacterial small subunit ribosomal RNA
Source: RNAcentral
GACGAACGCUGGCGGCGUGCUUAACACAUGCAAGUCGAACGGAAAGGCCCUGCUUUUGUGGGGUGCUCGAGUGGCGAACGGGUGAGUAACACGUGAGUAACCUGCCCUUGACUUUGGGAUAACUUCAGGAAACUGGGGCUAAUACCGGAUAGGAGCUCCUGCUGCAUGGUGGGGGUUGGAAAGUUUCGGCGGUUGGGGAUGGACUCGCGGCUUAUCAGCUUGUUGGUGGGGUAGUGGCUUACCAAGGCUUUGACGGGUAGCCGGCCUGAGAGGGUGACCGGCCACAUUGGGACUGAGAUACGGCCCAGACUCCUACGGGAGGUAGCAGUGGGGAAUAUUGCACAAUGGGCGGAAGCCUGAUGCAGCAACGCCGCGUGCGGGAUGACGGCCUUCGGGUGGUAAACCGCUUUCGCCUGUGACGAAGCGUGAGUGACGGUAAUGGGUAAAGAAGCACCGGCUAACUACGU